ACGGCUCAGUAACACGUGGACAAUCUACCCAAAGGUCUGGGAUAACCCCGGGAAACUGGGGAUAAUACCGGAUAAACCAAUACUUCUGGAAUGAGUGUUGGUUGAAAUGUAAAGCCUUUGGAUGGGUCUGCGGCGGAUUAGGUUGGACGCCGGUGUAACGUACCGGCGUGCCUGUCAUCCGUACGGGUUGUGGGAGCAAGAGCCCGGAGAUGGAUUCUGAGACACGAAUCCAGGCCCUACGGGGCGCAGCAGGCGCGAAAACUCUACAAUGCAGGCAACUGCGAUAGGGGGACAUCGAGUGGCAUCCACCUUGGGUGCCUGUCCAACCGUCUAAAAAACGGUUGUUAGCAAGGGCCGGGUAAGACCGGUGCCAGCCGCCGCGGUAAUACCGGCGGCUCGAGUGGUGGCCGAUAUUAUUGAGUCUAAAGGGUCCGUAGCCGGCUUUGCAAGUCCCCCGGGAAAUCCAGCGGCUUAACCGUUGGGCUUCCGUGGGAUACUACAUUGCUUGGGACUGGGAGAGGUAGGAGGUGCUCAGGGGGUAGGGGUGAAAUCCUGUAAUCCUCUGGGGACCACCGGUGGCGAAGGCGUCCUACCAGAACAGGUCCGACGGUGAGGGACGAAAGCUAGGGGCACGAACCGGAUUAGAUACCCGGGUAGUCCUAGCCGUAAACGAUGCCCGCUAGGUGUCACGGCGGUCGUGAAUCGCCGUGGUGCCGUAGGGAAGCCGCGAAGCGGGCCACUUGGGAAGUACGGCCGCAAGGCUGAAACUUAAAGGAAUUGGCGGGGGAGCAC
This 792-nucleotide ribosomal RNA is filed under the name uncultured archaeon. RNAcentral describes it as "bacterial SSU rRNA". It matches the Rfam family "Archaeal small subunit ribosomal RNA", at positions 85 to 879 of the family's 1478-position model. The record is from RNAcentral.